RNAcentral lists this unclassified non-coding RNA (1352 nucleotides) under Hevea brasiliensis (rubber tree). Lineage: Eukaryota; Viridiplantae; Streptophyta; Magnoliopsida; Malpighiales; Euphorbiaceae. The record is from RNAcentral.
UUCAAAUCCCCCAAAAAAAGUUUCUAAUUAAAUAUUCCAAACUCUUUACGCGUUUAUCUUCUCCUUCUCUAUAAACCCUAGCUUCAAUUUUUUCUCUCUCCGCGUAAAAUUCACUCUGUAACUAUGGAUGAAAACGAUAAGCAGGUUGAUAAUGAUCCAUUACCUGGUGGUGGUGGUGGUGGUGCAGCGGAGUUCACCGGCGCUACUACUGAAUCAAGCUGGUCACUCGGUGGUGGAGAUGAUGAAUCGGAUAAUGUUUACUUCUUCGGUACUAGUAGUACUGAUAGAGAGAGCAGUAUAUUAACCGAAUUCGGCUGGAAUUUUCAACCGCACGGAAAUAGAGAUGUUCGCGCAAGUGGUGACGGUAGUCGAUUUGAUCGGAUCGAUGAGGAUUUGGCGGGAAAUAGUACUACAACUACUGCUUCUGUUUCUGCUUCUGUUUCUAUUACUGAACCGACGGUGACGGAGAAAAUCACCGACGAACCUGUUUCAUCUAGCUGUUCUGAUGAUCCCCCGGAGAAAUCUACAGCUUCCGGUAGCUCCUCCGCCUCUCGACCGCCGUCCGAUACAGCGUUGAAUAUUCCACAGAAGCAAGGUUAAAAAGAAGGGUCAGAAACGAAUCAGGCAGCCCCGCUUUGCAUUUAUGACCAAAAGUGAAGUUGAUCAUCUUGAAGAUGGCUAUAGAUGGAGGAAAUAUGGCCAAAAAGCUGUUAAAAACAGUCCAUUUCCAAGGAGUUAUUAUCGUUGUACAAAUACAAAGUGUACAGUAAAGAAAAGAGUGGAGAGAUCCUCUGAAGAUUCCUCAAUUGUAAUCACAACAUAUGAAGGACAACAUUGUCACCAUACAGUUGGAUUUCCUAGAGGUGGACUUAUCAAUCACGAAGCAUUUACAUCUCAAUUAACACCUUUACCCUCACAAUUCUAUCAUCCAUCCGGUGUUCAAUACCCUCAUGAAUUAGUUCCUAUGAGUAGCCCCGCUGCACCAGAAUCACAUACAAUGCCUGGUGAAACCGGACCCGAACCUAUUAGAUUGCCAGAAACAAGUCAACCAGAUGCUACACAACAACCAACUGAUGAAGGAUUGCUUGGAGAUAUUGUACCUCCUGGGAUGCGAAGCAGAUAAUAUAAAGGGUAUAUAUUAUAUAGCAUGGAUGUCAUUCUUGAAUUUAGCUGGAAUCAACCCUCUAUUUUAUAUGAAGUUAGCUAUAGCUAGCUUUUUAUAUUUUUUGCUGAUCAUGAUAUAGGAAUCAUGACUUAUUAAUGGAGAGCCAUUGGAUAUAUAUAGCAGCUCUAGAUAUAUAAUUGUAGAGUUUACCCUUUUUUCAACUUUCUGUUGUUGGGAUUGGUCAUUU